RNAcentral lists this ribosomal RNA (490 nucleotides) under uncultured bacterium. RNAcentral describes it as "partial 16S ribosomal RNA". It matches the Rfam family "Bacterial small subunit ribosomal RNA", at positions 28 to 507 of the family's 1533-position model. The record is from RNAcentral.
GAUGAACGCUAGCUACAGGCUUAACACAUGCAAGUCGCGGGGCCGCAUGGGGGUUGCUUGCCAUCGCCGAUGGCGACGGGCGCGCGGGUGAGUAACGCGUAUCCAACCUGCCCUACACCACGGGAUAACCCGGCGAGAGUCUGACUAAUACCGUAUGUUUUCCAUUGACGGCCCCCGAUUGGAACGCGGGUUUGGGCGGACAUGGAUGGGGAUGCGUCCGAUUAGCUGGACGGCGGGGUGACGGCCCACCCUGGCGACGAUCGGUAGGGGUUCUGAGAGGGAGGUCCCCCAGACUGGAACUGAGACACAGUCCAGACUGCUACGGGACGCAGCAGUGUGGAAUACUGAUCAAUGGGCGUAAGCCUGACACAGCCGAGUGACGUGCAGGAUGCCGGCCCUAGGGGUAGUAAGCUACUUUUGUGGGAGGAUAAAGUGGGCCACUAGUGAGUUUUUGCAGGUACCGAAUGAGUAAGGACCGGCUAAUUCCGUG